Unclassified non-coding RNA from Panthera pardus (leopard), 282 nucleotides. Its record names the gene 7SK. It matches the Rfam family "7SK RNA". Rfam says of the family: 7SK was discovered as an abundant small nuclear RNA in the mid-70s but a possible function has only recently been suggested. Two independent studies have found that 7SK RNA binds the CDK9/cyclin T complex (known as elongation factor P-TEFb). P-TEFb activates transcription by phosphorylating the C-terminal domain of RNA polymerase II. The record is from Ensembl. NCBI's taxonomy places the organism in Eukaryota, Metazoa, Chordata, Mammalia, Carnivora, Felidae.
GGAUGUGAGGGUGAUCUGGCUGCAACAUCUGUCACUCCAUUGAUCACCAGGUGUUCCCUUCCUCCCUCACCCCUCCACAUGCAUCCCUUCUGAAGCUGCAUGCUCAGUUGAAGACGACCGGUUCUUCAGUCAAGGGUAUAUGAGUAGCUGCUUUCCUCUGCUAAAAACCUCCAUACAACCUCUCAAGAAAGCCAAUAGUUGGGGCAGGUAACAAAAAAAAUCUUUAAAAGCUUUUGGACAGCAACAGAGAAGUGGAAUAGUGAAUGAGACACAUCUGGAUGU